GCAAGGGCAAGAUGGCACCUGCCUGUAGUCCCAGCUACUCGGGAGGCUGAGGCAGGUGGAUGAUUUCAGCUCAGGAGUUCUGGGCUGUUAUGUGUGUUAUGCAGAACAGGUGUUCUCACUAAGUUCAGCAUCAAUAUGGUGAAUUCCCAGGAGUGUGGGGCUACCAGGUUGCCCAAGGAGGAGUGAACCAGCCAAGGUCAGAAACAGCAGGUCAGAACUUCUGUGCUGAUCAGUAGUGGGAUCAUGCCUGUGAAUAACCACUGUACUCCAGCUGGGGCAACAUGGAGAGACCCUGUCUCUA
Pan troglodytes (chimpanzee) is the source of this 301-nucleotide non-coding RNA. It matches the Rfam family "Metazoan signal recognition particle RNA". Rfam says of the family: The signal recognition particle (SRP) is a universally conserved ribonucleoprotein. It is involved in the co-translational targeting of proteins to membranes. The eukaryotic SRP consists of a 300-nucleotide 7S RNA and six proteins: SRPs 72, 68, 54, 19, 14, and 9. Lineage: Eukaryota; Metazoa; Chordata; Mammalia; Primates; Hominidae. The record is from Rfam.